UACGGAAGGUCCGGGCGUUAUCCGGAUUUAUUGGGUUUAAAGGGAGCGUAGGCCGGAGAUUAAGCGUGUUGUGAAAUGUAGACGCUCAACGUCUGCACUGCAGCGCGAACUGGUUUCCUUGAGUACGCACAAAGUGGGCGGAAUUCGUGGUGUAGCGGUGAAAUGCUUAGAUAUCACGAAGAACUCCGAUUGCGAAGGCAGCUCACUGGAGCGCAACUGACGCUGAAGCUCGAAAGUGCGGGUAUCGAACAGG
RNAcentral lists this ribosomal RNA (253 nucleotides) under Segatella copri DSM 18205. RNAcentral describes it as "Prevotella copri DSM 18205 partial 16S ribosomal RNA". It matches the Rfam family "Bacterial small subunit ribosomal RNA", at positions 524 to 776 of the family's 1533-position model. The record is from RNAcentral. Lineage: Bacteria; Pseudomonadati; Bacteroidota; Bacteroidia; Bacteroidales; Prevotellaceae. RNAcentral also lists the same sequence under 2 other names.